Molecule: ribosomal RNA, 600 nt
Filed under: uncultured bacterium
Lineage: Bacteria
Description: bacterial SSU rRNA
Rfam family: Bacterial small subunit ribosomal RNA
Source: RNAcentral
AAGGCCUAACACAUGCAAGUCGAACGGUAACAGGUCUUCGGACGCUGACGAGUGGCGAACGGGUGAGUAAUACAUCGGAACGUGCCCAGUCGUGGGGGAUAACUACUCGAAAGAGUAGCUAAUACCGCAUACGAUCUGAGGAUGAAAGCGGGGGACCUUCGGGCCUCGCGCGAUUGGAGCGGCCGAUGGCAGAUUAGGUAGUUGGUGGGAUAAAAGCUUACCAAGCCGACGAUCUGUAGCUGGUCUGAGAGGACGACCAGCCACACUGGGACUGAGACACGGCCCAGACUCCUACGGGAGGCAGCAGUGGGGAAUUUUGGACAAUGGGCGAAAGCCUGAUCCAGCAAUGCCGCGUGCAGGAUGAAGGCCUUCGGGUUGUAAACUGCUUUUGUACGGAACGAAAAAGCUUCUCCUAAUACGAGAGGCCCAUGACGGUACCGUAAGAAUAAGCACCGGCUAACUACGUGCCAGCAGCCGCGGUAAUACGUAGGGUGCGAGCGUUAAUCGGAAUUACUGGGCGUAAAGCGUGCGCAGGCGGUUAUGUAAGACAGAUGUGAAAUCCCCGGGCUCAACCUGGGAACUGCAUUUGUGACUGCAUGG